GAUGAACGCUGGCGGCGUGCUUAACACAUGCAAGUCGAACGAUGAAGCCCAGCUUGCUGGGUGGAUUGGUGGCGAACGGGUGAGUAACACGUGAGUAACCUGCCCUUGACUCUGGGAUAAGCCUGGGAAACUGGGUCUAAUACUGGAUAUGACUUCUCAUCGCAUGGUGGGGGGUGGAAAGAUUUAUUGGUCUUGGAUGGACUCGCGGCCUAUCAGCUUGUUGGUGAGGUAAUGGCUAACCAAGGCUACGACGGGUAGCCGGCCUGAGAGGGUGACCGGCCACACUGGGACUGAGACACGGCCCAGACUCCUACGGGAGGCAGCAGUGGGGAAUAUUGCACAAUGGGCGCAAGCCUGAUGCAGCGACGCCGCGUGAGGGAUGACGGCCUUCGGGUUGUAAACCUCUUUCAGUAGGGAAGAAGCGAGAGUGACGGUACCUGCAGAAGAAGCGCCGGCUAACUACGUG
Molecule: ribosomal RNA, 466 nt
Filed under: uncultured bacterium
Lineage: Bacteria
Description: partial 16S ribosomal RNA
Rfam family: Bacterial small subunit ribosomal RNA
Source: RNAcentral